GCAAAGAUUUAAGUGAUACGCUUUAUUGCAACAUCAAUUCUCUUAAUAAUAAUUAUGAAAAAGAUUAUUUAUCUUCAAAUACAAUUCAGUCUUAAAAGGCAGGAUUAUAUUGGAAAAGUUCCUUGCCUUUUAACUAAAUGCUGUCCCCUUGAUUCAUAUCAUAUUGGCUUUGGCUCUCAACCUCCAGGCUACACUUAUUUGUAAACAAACAAUGAACUAAGAUACCAAUAGCAGAAAGCCAAUUUGCAUUUGGUGUCAAAAUCUUCUUGAACGGUGUCACAUGGCAUCAAAAUCUUCUUGAACGGUGUGGCAUGGCGUGCAUUUGAGAGAUCAUCCUAAAGCAUACAUGAAUUCAGUCUCUUUCUUCAACAUUUAUCAACAGAUGAUUUUUCUUUAACCCAAAAUUUGCAAUGGAACAAAAAUAUUGUGAAAUUCACCUUGCUACUGCAGGUUUGAAGUAUUAGAAACUGAUUUUCCUAGCAAGCCUCUAGAAUAUCAUGGAUCUGCAUUUGAAUGCAGAUAGGAAGGUGAACCGAUUCUAAACCCCCUCACCCGAUUUGGUAUUUGGCAAGCAGACAUCCUGGUUAAGACCUGAAAAAGGAUACAAGGACUCAACUAUAAACCAGCAUCACAUACAGCCCCAUGGAAAACUUUUGACAACUUGUUAUUACAAUCAAGACAUUUAUCUAAUGAUGUUACAUUAGAAGAAACAUAAUGAAUCACUUAAGUCAUUAAGAAAAGUAGAUCACAUGGAAACAUUAGCCUAGUUUCAAUGGAUUUCAUUCAAUAGAAUGCAAUGCAAUGCCUGGCAUAGGUUGUCUCUUCCCCACUAAUGUUUUUAGGCGUAAUCAACUGCUUCAUCCACAGGACUGAAAAUAAAUUGAGUAAAGGGAAAAUGUUGAAAAGGGAAAUGGGGAUCAACUGAAAAUUAAAAUGUAAGAAUUUUACUGUAAUAGAACUUGUUAAAGCAUUGGCUACAAUAUGUGUACAACAUUUCCUUGUCUCAAGACUUUCUGCGUAAGCCACGACAUUUUGCAUGUGUAUCUGCUGUUUGAAAGAAAGCCUUCUAUUUCUAUCCAAAAAGAGAAAUAAAAAAUAGAAAAAGCAUCCACUUAUGUCAAUGAUAUCAAUACACAGAGCAAAUGAAACAUUCUAUUUAUGUCAAUGACAUUAAUGAAUACAAAAUUAAUGCAGUACUCUUUGUUUAAAAAAAAAGAAAAAUGUAUCCUUAGAAGAACCACCUCAAGGGCAAAAGGGUAGAAAUAUGCAAUCUACUAUCUGAGAAAAAUCCUGAUCUUACUAAUAGUUCUUAUUUGAGUUAUUCAGCCUUCGGAGAAACAGCUGAAACUUUUACCAUACAGACAAAUUGGAUCCACUAACCAUGCGGCUUAUGUACCGAUCACAUCAUUGACAACUAUUCAUUGUUAAGGAAACUGACAGCAUAGAUGAGGUGUACGACAAUGGUUUGUACUACAUAACCGCAUGCAAUGCAUGCAUUGUUAACACGUUUAUACAAAUCCAAAGAACGAUUGGAAUUUUCUUUAGGGACACGUAUGUGCAAAAUCUAUGCCAGCUAUCUAGGCUGGGCAUAAAAUAGUUUGUUGUUUUUUAAAUUGUUAAAAAGAAGAAACUCUGUCUAUUAACCUGCAAUUUUCUGUUUCAUACACUUCUGUAGGUUCAAGUGUAAACUGGUCAAUCUGAUUCUGUUGAAAUCCAACUUCUUAAAAUCACAUCUUCUUUCAAUUCACUGUUAUACCAUUUUAGACUCUUACCUGCCAACACCAAAUCUAGAUUGUUACUUGGCCAAAUAAAUGAAACGGGGAAAAUGGACAAAUGAGUAACAAACAAUUUUAGACAAGCAGAGAAAGAGAAGACGCACUUAGAGAAGAAACAAGAAAUGCCAGCUUGUCUGUAGCUCAUAUCCAACUUAUUAUAAACUAGGAACCACCAUCUCAUAACCAAAUAAAGUACAAGAGGUGAAUUUAAUCUGAACUUGAACUAUUGAUUUUAUAACUUUUAAUUGCCUAAUCGACAAGAAGGCCAGAUAUCCAGCUAUCAGAUACAUACAUUGCAGCACCGUAUCUUGCGUGUAUUCGGUGCCUCUAAAGAUAAAAGAAUUGAAUGGUCCAUUCACCGUGUAUAUUCUUCCACAAAUUUCUAAUCCUAGAUUCAGUCUUCUCCUUUCUAUGCCUUUUCCUUUAAGGUAAAAUAUACUCUCAAAACACUGCACCUAGUUGGUGCACUUCCUGCAUCAAGUCACUGCCCUCAUCCUUAAAAUGCUUGCCGUAUCUUGUUAAUCCAAGCUUGGUCUCUUUGUUUCAUUCAUAUCAAAAUCAAAAACCAAAAUAAGAAAAGGGACAGAGACCAUGAAAAAUUUGAUUUUUCAAGAGCCUAAGGAGAGAGUAACAGACGGUACAAGCGGCAUAAGCUAUGCCUGGAACUCUAUACGUGCUUCAGUGAUUGUACCACUUCUACACCUAGCAAUUAUCUUGUGCUCGGUGAUGUCUCUGAUGAUUUUCAUUGAACGGGUUUACAUGGCCAUUGUGAUCUUGUAUGUAAAAGUCUUGAGGAAGAAAAGAUACACCGAGUACAAGCUGGAGGAGAUGAAAGAAGAUCUAGAGCUUAACAAAAGCUACCCUAUGGUGUUGGUUCAAAUUCCUAUGUAUAAUGAGAAGGAGGUAUUCUUAAUUAUCUAUGUUGUAACUAAUGUCACAUAAAGGGAGCAGACAUAGACUAUAUGCUAAUUGCAUAAUUACAUACCACUGCAUGAAUAAAUACAACCUACAAUCCAGAUGACCUACAAGCUUCUUAGUUGAGAUGAAUAUGUCAUUAAUGGUAGUUGGUGACAUUCAGAAAAGAAUUUAUUCCUGUUUUAGACAACCAAAAAGCAGUGAACUAUAUCUGAUACCAAACAGGAAUUUGUUUGUUAUGAACCAAUUAAGUAGUUUAUUUCUUUCUAAAGAAAUAUAUAUCAUAUUAUUAAAUUUUAAUCUCUUAUAUUUUGAACUAUUAUACUCUUCUGUUCUUCAUAAAUUGGUCAGUUUAGAACAUGUCAUCAUCAUGCUAUUAACAGAAUCUUUUAUAUUACGUUUUCAUAUUACGUGAAAAACUUACUAAAAAAGAAACUUCCAUAUUAAGAAAUUAAUUGAAGUUUGGACCUUCUAUGCACAUGUUCCAAUUUUGAGCAUUCUAUAUUAUAGCUUUUCAUUACAUAUGUGAAAUUGAGAACAGCUUCAGUUAAGUCUUACAAGACCAUAAUAACCAGUGUCCAGAGUCAUAUACAGAUAAAAAUUUAUUUAUGUUUGUGACUCAGCAUGUUAUUAAACGCGUAAGCCACAGCUGCAGCAUACAAAGUAGGCCAAAUGAUGAUGAAGGUUUGUGUAACUAACCAUUCCAUCUGGUGGGUGAGACUCUGCUUUAUUAGUUUUAGGGUAAGACUGUUAAGUUCACAUAUCCAUAACAUAAUGUCAUGAUUUUUUUGACUGAUCAUUCCUAAUGGUACAUCUAUUUCAUCCUCUGCAAAUUUGAGGUCUUAAUAGCUUACAAACAGAUAUUCAAUGCUACAAAGUUAGAGGUAACUGGUAGGCAGUUAACAUAACAGCACAAUGAGAAAAAAAAGGGUAACAGAAGGCAAGAGAAAUGCUAGGUUGUUGUCUAAAUUUCAUGAUUGUUAUUUCAGCUAUUUUGACAAUCAUCACAAACCACUGUGGUCGAAUCACUUCCAGUAAGCAACUAACUGAAAGUUAAAAGUCUAAACUAAUUCUCAAAUUUUUUCUCUUUUUUUCUCUUUCCUCUACAGGUUUACAAGCUCUCUAUAGGAGCUGCUUGUGGACUUUCAUGGCCAUCUGACCGUCUCAUAGUUCAAGUUCUUGAUGACUCAACCAAUGAAGUCUUGAGGGUAUCACUUCAUCUCUUUGAACCCAAUAAAAUCUAAAACCUCUUUAUUUGUGCACUCAGACUGACUUUUUCCAGUACACACAGAAACUAGUGGAGCUGGAGUGCCUGAAAUGGAAAGAAAAAGGCGUGAAUGUGAAGUAUGAAACCAGGAAGAAUAGGAAUGGUUACAAGGCAGGUGCCCUUAAAGAAGGUUUAGAGAAGCAGUAUGUCAAAGAUUGUCAGUUUGUGGUGAUCUUUGAUGCAGACUUUCAACCUGAUGAGGAUUUUCUAUGGAGGACGAUUCCUUAUCUGCUAGAAAACAAAGAGUUGGGAUUGGUUCAAGCCAGAUGGAAAUUUGGUAAGACCACAAAACAAGAUCGAUUUUUAUGUGAACCUAAACUGCCCAGAUAUAAUUUCUCUAGAUUUAGAUGCAGAUGCUACUUACCCGACUAGCAAUAGUUAAGUUCUUACUUUAGUGUCAUUAAUGGUGAUAUCUGCAAAAUAUUUGAGGUAGUUUCUGGUAUUCAGUUGUUUUCUGGUAUUUCUACAUUUUUACCAUUCAAUGAGAUUUUCUCCAGUAAACGCUGAUGAAUGCCUAAUGACGCGGCUCCAAGAGAUGUCACUUGAUUAUCACUUCUCUGUUGAGCAAGAAGUAGGCUCCUCAACUUGUCAGUUCUUCGGGUUCAAUGGUAAAUCCUACAACAAUAAUCUAUCUACCACUAGAACUAAAUUAAACCAAUGUAACUUAGCUUUGUGUGCUAACAGGAACGGCAGGUGUUUGGCGAAUUCAAGCCAUAGAGGAUGCUGGCGGAUGGAAAGACCGAACCACAGUGGAAGACAUGGACCUUGCAGUCAGGGCUAGCCUCAAGGGUUGGAAAUUUGUCUUUGUUGGAGACCUAGGAGUGAGUCUACAUCUCACAGAUACUUUUGCCGUUUGUAUUUGUCCUACAAAUUCAAGAAAUAAUUAGAUAUCGCAAUCCAAUUGAUUCUCUGUGUGAUAAUUUUUGUCUCUGCUUCCUCUCCUGCUAGGUUAAAAAUGAACUACCUAGUACCUUCAAGGCAUACCGUUAUCAACAGCACCGUUGGUCAUGCGGUCCAUCUAACCUCUUCAGGAAAAUGACCAGAGAAAUCAUUCUUUGUGAAGUGAGUGAACUGUAAACUAAUUUCGCUAAGCCUUCAUCUAGACAAAACUAAAAUCAAUCCAGCUAGAAGGAUAGCAUUCGAUUCACUAAAUAACUUUCGUCCAGGAAGAAUCUCACAUGCUAUCUUAUCUCUUAUGCAGAGGGUCUCAGUCUGGAAAAGACUCUAUCUUAUAUAUGCAUUUUUUAUUGUGAGGAAGAUAAUAGCACACUGGGUCACUUUCUUCUUUUACUGCAUAGUUAUACCAACCAGUGUUUUGGUUCCUGAAAUCCAACUGACAAAGCCGAUUGCUAUUUACAUUCCAGCCACCAUUACCUUACUGAAUGCUGUCUGUACACCAAGGUACCAGAAAACAGGUCAUAGAAAUAUAAAGUUUCACUUUUAUGCUUUUGUAAACUUCAUUAUAUUCAUCCCCUAGAUAGAAUGAUAAUCUUCAAUUUACCCCCAUUUUCGUUCAGAAGAUGAGGGCAAAUGGGUAGCUCGUUGAUAAUUUUUUUUCCCUUCUUAAUAGUCAGUAGGGGUAGAUUGAAGAUUGUCAUUCUAAGUAGAGUAUAAAUUGAAGUUUACCCUUAUACCAUUUAUCCUUUUUAAGAUGUUGACUACUAGUUAUUUUAUCAUUUCAUGGUCAGGUCCUUCCAUCUAAUUGUCUUCUGGAUUUUGUUUGAGAAUGUCAUGUCGCUCCUUCGAGCUAAAGCAGCAAUUAUAGGCCUCCUAGAAGCUAAUCGCGUCAAUGAAUGGGUCGUAACGGAGAAGCAUGGGAACACGAAGAAGCAAAAGAAUAACAUCAAAACGCUAAAGAAAUCACGGUCUCGAGUUGGAGAAAGGUAUUUAUCUAUUCUUACUAUGUGAGCUAUAAUUUCACUACACCUAAGUGCAAAAUAAACACAGCAAAUAGCUAUUCUGUUCAAGAACCAUCACUCAAAUAAGCAUGCGAACAAAAGCUAGAGCACCACAAAGACCCAUCAAUUACAAAGAGGAUAAAGAGCCAAAAUUCACAUAAAAGCAGAACAUUUUGCCAUACAGAAUAUAACAUCACCAAAGCAUUAACUAACUAUAAUUUGAUUUAACAAGACUAUUUUGACAAACAGGCUGCAUGUUUUGGAGCUGAUAAUGGGGACGUUUAUGCUCUACUGUGCAAUCUAUAACCUGAUAUUUUGCCAAGAUCAUUUCUUUGUGUAUCUCUUACUGCAAGCUGGGGCAUUCUUCAUAAUGGGAUUCGGAUAUGUGGGGACAUCUGUACCUAAUUAGAACAACGCUAGCUUUUACUCUCUAUCUUGUAGCAUUUUAUUUCACUGUUUCUAUGGCUAGAACCUAGAAGUAGGUGCAUGUAAGACUAGUUAAAACUUAUGUGUAUUUAGUAGAAUAAAAAUAAACAAAUGUUGAUAGUAAAUGCAGAAUAACUAC
Molecule: long non-coding RNA, 6420 nt
Filed under: Citrus maxima (pomelo)
Lineage: Eukaryota; Viridiplantae; Streptophyta; Magnoliopsida; Sapindales; Rutaceae
Description: long non-coding RNA (CMAX_LNC001506)
Source: RNAcentral